UGGGGAAUAUUGGACAAUGGGCGAAAGCCUGAUCCAGCCAUGCCGCGUGGAUGAAGAAGGCCCUAGGGUUGUAAAGUCCUUUCGCCGCUGAAGAUAAUGACGGUAAGCGGAGAAGAAGCCCCGGCUAAUUUCGUGCCAGCAGCCGCGGUAAUACGAAAGGGGCUAGCGUUGUUCGGAAUUACUGGGCGUAAAGCGCACGUAGGCGGUUUGCUAAGUUGGGGGUGAAAUCCCGGGGCUCAACCCCGGAACUGCCUCCAAAACUGGCAGGCUAGAGGCUGUGAGAGGUGAGCGGAAUUCCGAGUGUAGAGGUGAAAUUCGUAGAUAUUCGGAAGAACACCAGUGGCGAAGGCGGCUCACUGGCACAGUACUGACGCUGAGGUGCGAAAGCGUGGGGAGCAAACAGGAUUAGAUACCCCUGUAGUCC
This 424-nucleotide ribosomal RNA is filed under the name uncultured prokaryote. RNAcentral describes it as "bacterial SSU rRNA". It matches the Rfam family "Bacterial small subunit ribosomal RNA", at positions 355 to 796 of the family's 1533-position model. The record is from RNAcentral.